ACUAAUCGAACCAUCUAGUAGCUGGUUCCCUCCGAAAUUUCCCUCAGGAUAGCUGCGAUCGAAUGUCAAUUUUAUCAGGUAAAGCGAAUGAUUAGAGGAUCCGGGGGCGGAAUGCCCUCGGCCUAUUCUCAAACUUUAAAUGGGUAAGAGCCCAGUGUUGCUUAAUCGAACACUGGCGUUGAAUGACGGUUGUUAGUGGGCCAUUCUGGGUAAGCUGGACUGGCGAUGCGGGAUGAACCGAACGUUGAGUUAAAGUGCCUCACUGCCCGCUCACCUAGAUCCCACAAACGGUGUUGGUUCAUUUUGACAGCAGGACGGUGGCCAUGGAAGUCGGAACCCGCUAAGGAGUGUGUAACAACUCACCUGCCGAAUGAACUAGCCCGGAAAAUGGAUGGCGCUGAAGCGAGCGACUUAUACUCAACCACUAAGGCAAGUGCGAAGCCUUAGUGAGUAGGAGGGCGUGGAGGUUGUGGCGCAUCUUGCGGCGUGAGCCGGAGUGAAACAGCCUCUAGUGCAGAUCUUGGUGGUAGU
This 531-nucleotide ribosomal RNA is filed under the name uncultured eukaryote. RNAcentral describes it as "partial Eukaryotic large subunit ribosomal RNA". It matches the Rfam family "Eukaryotic large subunit ribosomal RNA", at positions 930 to 1461 of the family's 3401-position model. The record is from RNAcentral.